UACAGAGGUGGCAAGCGUUGUUCGGAUUCACUGGGUGUAAAGGUCAUGUAGGCGUUUUGUUAAGUCGGGCGUGAAAUCCUAUGGCUCAACCAUAGAACUGCGCUCGAUACUGGCAGGAUUGAGUACGGGAGAGGUAAGCGGAAUUCCAGAAGUAAGGGUGAAAUCUGUAGAUAUCUGGAAGAACACCAUUAGCGAAGGCGGCUUACUGGUCCGAUACUGACGCUGAAAUGAGAAAGCUAGGGGAGCAAACAGGAUUAGAUACCCUGGUAGUCCUAGCCGUAAACGAUGGGCAUUGGGUGCUGGCUCGCAAGGGUCGGUGUCGUAGCUAACGCGUUAAAUGCCCCACCUGGGGACUACGGUCGCAAGGCUAAA
Molecule: ribosomal RNA, 372 nt
Filed under: uncultured bacterium
Lineage: Bacteria
Description: bacterial SSU rRNA
Rfam family: Bacterial small subunit ribosomal RNA
Source: RNAcentral